Molecule: long non-coding RNA, 782 nt
Organism: Erinaceus europaeus (western European hedgehog)
Lineage: Eukaryota; Metazoa; Chordata; Mammalia; Eulipotyphla; Erinaceidae
Exons: 3
Source: RefSeq, a predicted model, not a curated record
UGCCGUGAUUUCUUUGUCUGGCUGUUUGUUGAUGGGCAUUUCAGUUGCAUCUAUUCCUUGGCUAUUGUGAGGAAUACGGUCAGUCAUGAAUGAACACAGGGACACACAUGUCCCUUCCAACUAGCUUUCUCGUGCUAGGAGUGGUGUUUUGCUGCCUCAUAAGUUCAUUCCAUUCUUAUCUGUUUAAAGGCUCUCCGUAGGAUUCUCCAGAGAGGCUGCACCAGCCCAGGUCCUCACCAACAAAGCGACAGAGUUCUUUCUUCUCCACAUCCUUGUCAACACUCGCCAUUUCCUGCUUUGCUGAGGUUCAAGGCCAAAGGGCUUAUCAGAGGACCAUGUAGAAGGUGGAGGAGAAACUGGAUUUGAAACAUAGCCUGAGGAAAAUUUUUCUGCAAACCAGAUGCCUGGGACUGCAAGUAAAGCCACCAAGCUACAGAUGCUAUCAUGAUACCAACCUGACUUCCCUGGGCAGAUGACCUCACCAAUGCAUCCUGAAGCCCCACCUGCCCAGAGCCCUGCCUCACUAGGGAAAGAGAGAGACAGGCUGGGGGUAUAAAUCCACCUGCCAAUAUCCAUGUCCAGCAGAGAAGCAAUUACAGAAGCCAGAACUCCCACCUCCUGCACCCCAUAACAAUAUUGGGCCCAUACUCCCAGAGGAAUAAAUAAUAGGAAACUUCUAAUGGAGGGGAUGGGAUGCAGAACUCUGGUAGUGGGAAUUGUGUGGAAUUGUACCCCUCUUAUCCAACGGAAUUGUCGUUCAUAAUUAAAUAAAAAAAAAGGAA